UAGUGGCGCACGGGUGCGUAACGCGUGGGAAUCUGCCCCUUGGUUCGGAAUAACAGUUGGAAACGACUGCUAAUACCGGAUGAUGACGUAAGUCCAAAGAUUUAUCGCCGAGGGAUGAGCCCGCGUAGGAUUAGGUAGUUGGUGUGGUAAAGGCGCACCAAGCCGACGAUCCUUAGCUGGUCUGAGAGGAUGAUCAGCCACACUGGGACUGAGACACGGCCCAGACUCCUACGGGAGGCAGCAGUGGGGAAUAUUGGACAAUGGGCGAAAGCCUGAUCCAGCAAUGCCGCGUGAGUGAUGAAGGCCUUAGGGUUGUAAAGCUCUUUUACCCGGGAUGAUAAUGACAGUACCGGGAGAAUAAGCUCCGGCUAACUCCGUGCCAGCAGCCGCGGUAAUACGGAGGGAGCUAGCGUUAUUCGGAAUUACUGGGCGUAAAGCGCACGUAGGCGGCUUUGUAAGUAAGAGGUGAAAGCCCAGAGCUCAACUCUGGAAUUGCCUUUUAGACUGCAUCGCUUGAAUCAUGGAGAGGUCAGUGGAAUUCCGAGUGUAGAGGUGAAAUUCGUAGAUAUUCGGAAGAACACCAGUGGCGAAGGCGGCUGACUGGACAUGUAUUGACGCUGAGGUGC
Molecule: ribosomal RNA, 626 nt
Filed under: Sphingomonas sp. Air142
Lineage: Bacteria; Pseudomonadati; Pseudomonadota; Alphaproteobacteria; Sphingomonadales; Sphingomonadaceae
Description: bacterial SSU rRNA
Rfam family: Bacterial small subunit ribosomal RNA
Source: RNAcentral